RNAcentral lists this ribosomal RNA (479 nucleotides) under uncultured bacterium. RNAcentral describes it as "SSU rRNA". It matches the Rfam family "Bacterial small subunit ribosomal RNA", at positions 26 to 523 of the family's 1533-position model. The record is from RNAcentral.
AGGACGAACGCUGGCGGCGCGCUUAACACAUGCAAGUCGAACGUGAAGCUGGAGCUUGCUCCGGUGGAAAGUGGCGAACGGGUGCGUAACACGUGAGCAACCUGCCCCGAAGACUGGGAUAACACCGGGAAACCGGUGCUAAUACCGGAUACCUUCUUCCGAUCGCAUGGUUGGAUGAAGAAAUGGAUUCCGCUUCGGGAUGGGCUCGCGGCCUAUCAGCUUGUUGGUGAGGUAACGGCCCACCAAGGCGACGACGGGUAGCUGGUCUGAGAGGACGACCAGCCACACUGGGACUGAGACACGGCCCAGACUCCUACGGGAGGCAGCAGUGGGGAAUCUUGCUCAAUGGGCGAAAGCCUGAAGCAGCGACGCCGCGUGCGGGAUGAAGGCCCUCGGGUUGUAAACCGCUUUCAGCAGGGACGAAAUUGACGGUACCUGCAGAAGAAGGCCGGCCAACUACGUGCCAGCAGCCGCGGUAA